This 73-nucleotide transfer RNA is filed under the name Cellulomonas sp. RNAcentral describes it as "tRNA-Arg". It matches the Rfam family "tRNA". Rfam says of the family: Transfer RNA (tRNA) molecules are approximately 80 nucleotides in length. Lineage: Bacteria; Bacillati; Actinomycetota; Actinomycetes; Micrococcales; Cellulomonadaceae. The record is from RNAcentral. RNAcentral also lists the same sequence under 2 other names.
GCCCGCGUAGCUCAGUGGAUAGAGCGUCUGCCUCCGGAGCAGAAGGCCGCUGGUUCGAGUCCAGUCGCGGGCA